Molecule: transfer RNA, 71 nt
Filed under: Minisyncoccota bacterium
Lineage: Bacteria; Bacillati; Minisyncoccota
Description: tRNA-Pro
Rfam family: tRNA
About the family: Transfer RNA (tRNA) molecules are approximately 80 nucleotides in length. Their secondary structure includes four short double-helical elements and three loops (D, anti-codon, and T loops).
Source: RNAcentral
CGGGAUGUAGCAUAGUGGUAGUGUACCCGCUUUGGGAGCGGGCGGUCCGAGUUCGAUUCUCGGCAUCCCGA